Leptidea sinapis is the source of this 567-nucleotide long non-coding RNA. RefSeq lists it as uncharacterized. The record is from RefSeq and is a predicted model, not a curated record. The transcript has 3 exons. Lineage: Eukaryota; Metazoa; Arthropoda; Insecta; Lepidoptera; Pieridae.
UACAUUGAAUUUAGUAAUUACAAUUAAUACCUUACGAUAUCUUGUUUAUUGUUCCUAUGACCUAUUCUAUUUCUAAGUAUUACAAAAUGUCCUAAGGCUCAAAAGGUUUUUUGCGUGAAUAUUAAAUAAGUUAUUUAAUGUAACCGAAAUAACAAAAACAGUUCCAUUAUUCUUAUUUCAAACAUAUAAUAUUCUAAAUUGAUUCAAGUAACGAAUUCAAUCAAUUUCAGCAAAUAAAACAAAAAAAGAAAAAAAUUACGACUGAACAACAAUAAAAGGUGAACAACAUAAGAAUACUUGAUGGUGAAAAUGCUCAGAGGACUGAUAAUUUUUGGUGCUGGUGUGUACACUGGUGUAUAUGUUGCCCAGUCAUACGAGAUAGAAAAGGUUGAGGAUCCAAUGGUUUUAUUUCAAAGAUUUCAGAGUUUUGUGAAAACAAAAAUGGAUGAACUAAAUGGUAAGAAAAGUGAUUAAGAAACAAGAAGAUUAAUAGAAACGACAAUGAAUUGAAACAACAUGUAAAUAUCUUAUAAUGUAGUACCAAUUUAAUAAAUAUUGAAUAUAUAA